AUUUCCCACAUAGUGUCUUACAAUCGGUCGCAACAUUGGUCGCAAUGGGCAGAGAAAUUAAUUUCAAAUCGGUCACUAAAUCAGUCUCUAAAACAGUCUCUGAGGUCGGUUGCUAUUUCGGUCUCUAAAUUCAGUCGCUACUUCGGUCGCAACGAACAGAGAAAUUAUUAAAAAAUCAGUCACAAAUCAGUCGCUAUAGCGUCAGACAAUUCGUCGAAUCCAUCGUCGCAAAAUCAGUCUCUAAGCUAGUCUCUGAUUUCGGUCACUGUUUCGGUCGCUAACAUCGGUCGCUAUUUCAGUCGCUACAAN
Molecule: long non-coding RNA, 309 nt
Filed under: Trifolium pratense (red clover)
Lineage: Eukaryota; Viridiplantae; Streptophyta; Magnoliopsida; Fabales; Fabaceae
Description: long non-coding RNA (TPRA_LNC002733)
Source: RNAcentral